Molecule: ribosomal RNA, 501 nt
Filed under: uncultured bacterium
Lineage: Bacteria
Description: partial 16S ribosomal RNA
Rfam family: Bacterial small subunit ribosomal RNA
Source: RNAcentral
AUUGAACGCUGGCGGCAGGCUUAACACAUGCAAGUCGAGCGGGGGAAGGUAGCUUGCUACCGGACCUAGCGGCGGACGGGUGAGUAAUGCUUAGGAAUCUGCCUAUUAGUGGGGGACAACAUCUCGACAGGGAUGCUAAUACCGCAUACGUCCUACGGGAGAAAGCAGGGGAUCUUCGGACCUUGCGCUAAUAGAUGAGCCUAAGUCGGAUUAGCUAGUUGGUGGGGUAAAGGCCUACCAAGGCGACGAUCUGUAGCGGGUCUGAGAGGCUGAUCCGCCACACUGGGACUGAGACACGGCCCAGACUCCUACGGGAGGCAGCAGUGGGGAAUAUUGGACAAUGGGGGGAACCCUGAUCCAGCCAUGCCGCGUGUGUGAAGAAGGCCUUAUGGUUGUAAAGCACUUUAAGCGAGGAGGAGGCUACUUUAGUUAAUACCUAGAGAUAGUGGACGUUACUCGCAGAAUAAGCACCGGCUAACUCUGUGCCAGCCGCCGCGGUAA